This 24-nucleotide microRNA is filed under the name Eisenia fetida (common brandling worm). RNAcentral describes it as "Efe-Mir-2689-P1_5p* (star (passenger))". The record is from RNAcentral. Lineage: Eukaryota; Metazoa; Annelida; Clitellata; Crassiclitellata; Lumbricidae.
GUGCAAUAGCAGGCCCCGGAUGCG